This is a long non-coding RNA of Vigna radiata var. radiata (mung bean), 1255 nucleotides long. RefSeq lists it as uncharacterized. The transcript is spliced from 2 exons. NCBI's taxonomy places the organism in Eukaryota, Viridiplantae, Streptophyta, Magnoliopsida, Fabales, Fabaceae. The record is from RefSeq and is a predicted model, not a curated record.
GAGACCCAAGUCUUUCUCUGAAUGGAAAACCUAAAGAGGUCUUCAUCUUCACCACCCACGCACUCUGCCGCUGCCUCCACCGAACGGCCACUGCGACGCCACCAAAAGGGUCGCCAGCGACCACCGUCGACCACAGCUCCCCACCGGUUGCCGCCGUCAAGCCUUUCCCUCUCCUUCUCUUUUCUCGUGCUAACCUAGGGUUGGGGGUUCCUUCUCAAAUGCACNGCCGGCCACCACUGCUUCGAAUCCAGCCACCGUGCCACCCUCUUCUCUCUUCGACGCCGACGAGCUCUGUCGCUGCUGGUGAGCUCUUCUUCCUCUCUCCUUCGCUCGCGAGCAGGGAAACCCCUUUCCUCUUCUUCAAGUCCAAGAGCGCCGCCACCAACAAGACAAAACGCCAUUGCCUCAGGUAGACCGGUUGUCGUUCAUGCGCGCAACAGAGGCGUCGUGGUGACCGAAAAUGGUUUCGAUUUCCAGAGCAGUUAAAACAGAUGCAGAGAUUUUGGGUGAAAAAUGAUGUUGGAUUCAGAUGAAGAGCGUAGGCAUCUUGCUAGGCAGAGAGUACGAAACGACAAAAGAAUGAGUCUUGGUUCUUAGUGAUUGUUUUUGUUUCUGUGACUUUGUGCAGCGCAGGUUGAGGAUGAUGGUGUGCUGCGUGAGUUGGGGUGGAGGUUCUAAUGGGUGCGUUGAUGAUCUAUUGAUCGAAACUGUUAAAGACGAGGGUUCGAAUGGUCUGAAGUUGAUGAGGGUGAUGAAACUGUUAUGUCUUUGUUCUUGNAGGAAAGUAACUUUGGUUAUUGGUUUUUCCAGAAUGAAAGGCUAUGAGCAGUAUGGUNAGAUAUGGUCUUUCUUGUUUCUGCAGGUGAACGGGGGUUAAGGAAAAAAUAAUGGCUUGUGAAUGAUAUUUGCGGUCUUGCUUAAGAAAUGGAAACAGGUGUAUCUAAUCUCGUUUGGCUGUUGGUUGGGNGGAUGAACUUGCUUGGGACAAGAGAAAUUAGAGCCGUAGGAGUGAAAGCGGGAAGAUGACGAUANCGUAUACAAAAUGUCCAACAACAAUCAUGCGCAAACAUGGCAGCAACACACCAGAGAUAUAAUAAGCAAAUAACUCAAUAAAACAUAUUGGGCAGGGCANUGCUUACCUCUUGAAGUUCGGAUGCUAUCGUUAGCCUANCACCUCUGGCAAUGCCCUCCCUUCCUUUAGNUGGCUUUGUUUUCUGUCCCAAGCAAUGAAUGGCGAUUUUUUUAUUUUCCAGUA